Molecule: RNA transcript, 1848 nt
Organism: Lycium barbarum (goji berry)
Lineage: Eukaryota; Viridiplantae; Streptophyta; Magnoliopsida; Solanales; Solanaceae
Gene name: protein arginine N-methyltransferase PRMT10
Exons: 9
Source: RefSeq, a predicted model, not a curated record
GGGCUAGACAUAUAGACACACUCUUUGCUGCCCUAAAAUUCGAAACGAAAUAUUUGUGUCUUCACUUUGAAGAGCAAAAGUGGUGGCCGCUGAGAGACAUGGGUAGCUCUUCUAAUGGUAAUGGUGUCGCCCCUAACAACGUCGACAAGGGCGUUGAUUAUGCCAACUACUUCUGCACCUAUUCCUUUCUCUACCACCAAAAAGAGAUGCUCUCUGAUCGUGUUCGCAUGGACGCUUACUAUAAUUCCAUUUUCCAAAACAAACAUCAUUUUGCUGGAAAGGCUGUUUUGGAUGUAGGGACAGGGAGCGGUAUAUUGGCAAUAUGGUCAGCACAAGCAGGUGCAAGGAAAGUCUAUGCAGUCGAAGCCACCAAGAUGGCAGAACAUGCUCGUGAACUUGUUAAAACAAAUGGACUUGAGCAUGUUGUUGAAGUGAUUGAAGGGUCAAUGGAAGAUAUUACUCUGCCUGAGAAGGUUGAUGUAAUCAUUUCAGAGUGGAUGGGAUACUUCCUUCUACGUGAAUCAAUGUUUGACUCAGUUAUCUGUGCCCGGGAUCGCUGGUUGAGCUCAAAUGGAGUUAUGUACCCAAGCCAUGCUCGAAUCUGGGUUGCACCAAUCCGCUCUGGGUUAGUGGAUCAAAAGAAGAUUGAUUAUGAUAGAGCCAUGGUUGAUUGGUCCCAUUUUGUCAAUGAAACUAAAACAUUUUAUGGUGUGGAUAUGGGCAGUCUGACUAAGCCUUUCACAGACGAGCAGAAAAAAUACUAUCUACAUACAUCAUUGUGGAACAACCUUCAUCCAAAUCAACUAAUUGGAAAACCUGCUGUCAUAAAGGAGAUUGAUUGUUUAACAACAAGUGUGAAUGACAUACUCAGUCUUCAGGCAAACGUCUCAUCAUUCAUUACUGCAGAAAAUACACGAUUCUGUGGGUUUGGUGGAUGGUUUGAUGUCCACUUUCGAGGACGCAAGGAGAAUCCAGCUAAACAGGAGAUUGAGUUGACAACAGCUCCAAGUGAAGACCUUGGGACACACUGGGGGCAGCAGGUGUUCUUGUUACAUCCAUCCAUACAUGUUAGCCAAGGAGAUAAUAUGACAAUUAAUUUUUCAAUGGAUCGCUCUAAAGAAAACCAUCGGCUGUUGGAAGUUGAGUUUGACUGUGAGCUUAGACAAUCUUCUGGAAAGUCACUUCCAUCAUUCAGAAAGAAGUUCUAUAUAGAAUGAGGAACACGGCAUGAUGUUUCAGAGUUUUGGGCACAACUUAUUUAAGCUUGACGAUUCCUCUUUUGUGCUUUGUCAUGUCUAAAGGCCAAUUGGAGAAAUGCUACUGGCGUACAAGGGCCCCUGGAAAGAAAUUCAGCUUUUUCUGCAGCUGACUUGUGCUCUUGUAUCCUUGAUACAGAGCAUGAAGAAGAGAGUGUUUGACAAAUUCCAAGAUUUAAGAGCUUCCUUUACCUUUGUUGAUUUCUGAACUUGUCUUGCCCCCUAGACUGUUGUGCCCUCCUCUCAACAAAUUUGACUCUUACAUUAUUUUGCAUUUUUUUCUUUUCAUUUUGGUUCGGACCUGUAAACAAGGAGGUUUUCCUGGGGGCACUAGGGGUUUGGAGUGUUUUUUAAAGCUUGCAGAAUCACUCACCUACAGUUUGCGCGGGAAAUGAGCAGCAAGGUGUCCACCCCAAACAAGUUUGUAUCUAAAGCCGUAAUUAGUGCUAUUUAUUCUCGUCAAUGUGUUUAGUACUCUGUACUCGUCACUUUGUUAGUGUUAUCUUAUUCUAGUCACUUGCCAUUUAGAAUGGAGUAUCAAUCUUAUGAAGUCAGACUGGAGUUGAGAUAAAUGCCCAUUUCUUUUGCUGUA